Molecule: long non-coding RNA, 681 nt
Filed under: Salvia miltiorrhiza (redroot sage)
Lineage: Eukaryota; Viridiplantae; Streptophyta; Magnoliopsida; Lamiales; Lamiaceae
Description: long non-coding RNA (SMIL_LNC005817)
Source: RNAcentral
GGCAGUAUCAGGCAGUCAAAAGAAAAUAUAUGUUACAGAGUCAAAUUACAGAAGCUCAAGCACACAAUUGCAGGUAUGAUCAGAACAUACAUGCAUAAAAAUAAAAGAAUAGCUGUAUAAGAUGAAGGACAAACCAACAACAUGACUACUCCACUAUGAAGGGCUUAGGACCAGAUCUGACCCAGCAAAUGGCAGAGCAGAUGAUAUAAUAUGUUGGUUUGCAGAAUGAUACAACCUACUUUGGUGAUUCGAUUUCCAUUAACAAAAAUCAUAAUAUAGUCAUCCUUUUGAAGCAAACCGUUGAAUAAAAUGACAUCAAUCCAGGAAGAUAUUUUUUGGCAUCAAAAUAGCAUCAUUUUUAGUACCAACUAUAAGCAAAGAAAAAUAAUAUCAGAUAGCCCAAAAGAAUUAUCCAUGCAACACAACUACAAUUUCGAACACAAUAAGAAUUUUAUGGCAAAUAUCAGAAUUCGGGGUUGAAAAUAAAUUAGAAUAAUAAUUAAAUAAAAAUGCUGAUCGAAUUCGGCUCAUAAGGGAUCUGCUACUUGGAGAGUUUACCUGUUUGUGUGAGACUCUCCUUUCACUUGUGAGAGCCCGGGGUGGCUGCCUUGUUCGUCGAGGCAGAGGAGUCUCCGACGAGGCACAGGGACAGUGGCGAGUCUUCAGGAAGGGGAGGCAAGG